GGGAGCCGGAUGAGUCGAGAGGCUCACGUCCGGUUCUGCGAGGGGCUGGGGGUGAAAUUCCCCUGGUCUACUCACC
Molecule: non-coding RNA, 76 nt
Filed under: Pseudomonas sp. OF001
Lineage: Bacteria; Pseudomonadati; Pseudomonadota; Gammaproteobacteria; Pseudomonadales; Pseudomonadaceae
Source: RNAcentral